GAUUAUGGCUCAGGAUGAACGCUAGCGACAGGCUUAACACAUGCAAGUCGAGGGGCAGCACGGGAGUAGCAAUACAACUGGUGGCGACCGGCGCACGGGUGAGUAACGCGUAUGCAACCUACCUAUCAGAGGGGAAUAACCCGGCGAAAGUCGGACUAAUACCGCAUAAAACAGGGGCACCGCAUGGUGAUAUUUGUUAAAGAGAUUCGCUGAUAGAUGGGCAUGCGUUCCAUUAGGUAGUUGGUGAGGUAACGGCUCACCAAGCCGACGAUGGAUAGGGGAACUGAGAGGUUGGUCCCCCACACUGGUACUGAGACACGGACCAGACUCCUACGGGAGGCAGCAGUGAGGAAUAUUGGUCAAUGGGCGGGAGCCUGAACCAGCCAAGUCGCGUGAAGGAAGAAGGAUCUAUGGUUCGUAAACUUCUUUUGCAGGGGAAUAAAGUGCAGGACGUGUCCUGUUUUGUAUGUACCCUGAGAAUAAGGAUCGGCUAACUCCGUGCCAGCCGCAGC
This 512-nucleotide ribosomal RNA is filed under the name uncultured bacterium. Its description in RNAcentral is "bacterial SSU rRNA". It matches the Rfam family "Bacterial small subunit ribosomal RNA", at positions 15 to 518 of the family's 1533-position model. The record is from RNAcentral.